Molecule: long non-coding RNA, 465 nt
Organism: Stegodyphus dumicola
Lineage: Eukaryota; Metazoa; Arthropoda; Arachnida; Araneae; Eresidae
Source: RefSeq, a predicted model, not a curated record
UGCAUAUUUUAUUCGUUUUCGUAUGCUGCGCAGAGAAACUUUUGAUUCAAAUUCGGAUAAGGUUUGGAUAUUUGUGAACGUAUAUCUCCAUGAGUUACCGUAAUAAUUUAUUGUCUUAAGAGAUGAAGUACCUCGGCAAAGUUCUAGUAAAUACAGAAACUUGAGCAGGAUUUACAGGAUUUCUCUGCCAAGAUUCCCUGGAACCGUAUUAUUCCGCAAUAAACAGUGAUAAAUUCUUUAAUAAUACGUUAUAUUUACGGCUAAUCACUUGUAAUAUUUAUGUACAAAACCCUUGAAAUCUCAGAAUUGUUCUCAGGGUUCCUCUAGAAUAGGAAGAAAAAAAAGAAAAAGAAAAAGAAAGAAAAAAAAAAAAUGUUGAAAAGCACUGAUUUAAGAUACAAGAGAAGUUAGAAAUAGAUUAUAUAUGGAGUAUGUAAGAAAUUUCAAAUAAAAUUCUUGAACGUA